GGGGCGGGGGGGGGGGUCAGUUCCCCUGCCCUUGAAGCCAGGCUCUCCUGUUGCUUGCUCCAGAGAACACAGCAGAAGUGAAGGUGAUACUGAGCCAGACCCCUAAGGCGGUGGGUUCCCUCUUUAAGUCACCCCCGGUAACUCGGAAAUCAGAGCUCCCCCCUUUGUGGGGGACAGCACCUUGGUACCACUUCUAAUGGAGAGAGGGUGCGGCGUGGGUAGGAAGUAAUGCAGAAAGUUUUCAGGUCUCCCGUUCAGAACUGGGGAAAGGGAAACACAGUGGCUCGCUGUUCCUCCUUCUUCAUUGGAAAGGAAGCUCUAGCAAGCUGGAAGACCAAGUGGGAACAGGGACCUCCUCCAUCACAGUCCAAAGGAGCGCCUGGAUCAUGCUUGUCUGGACGUUGAAGCCCUCUGGAGCACUAGGAGAGCCAUGGUGAGCCAGCAGGAGGGGACUGCGCAAGUUGCUGAAAGAGAUUUGUUAAAACCUCGACCAUGGUUACAAAUUUGCCCACUUGUCUCUUUUGUUCUGUCAACUUUCUGCUUCAUGCAGCCCUGUUAUUAGAUGUCCCCGAUUCGAUCGGUGGAAGCCACUUCAAGACAGCUUCUGUAUCCUUCUGACAUGUCCCCAUUAUUCUUUGAGUGCUUCCGUGCAUUCUGGCCCAGGAUGCUCCAGACUCGCCUUGUACUUUCCCUGCCCAGUCCUGGAAUCAGCCAUUCUCUGGGGAUCCCUGCCUUCUUUCUUUGAAACCGUUGUUUAGAAAACAAAAUCUAGGUCUUGCUAAUGACGUGUAUCCACUCCUGGCUCUGUGUGAACACAGCUUGAGAAUAUGUAUGCAUAUGUAUACAUACAUAUAGUAUCUAUUAUAUAUCUGUUAUAUAUGCAUAUAUUAUUAUAACGUAUUAAUAUAUGUGUAUAUAUAGAUGAAUCCACUCAGAUAUAUUCUUUUCCAAAUAAACAUCACAGGGUUCAUUCCAGUUUUCUCCUUUUCUAUAUUUAUAACUCCCUCUCUCACUAAACCCAAACCUCCUCCCCCCUCCUCACCCUGCUCAGGAUCUGACACCCCACAUCUGGCUUCCCUCCCAUGGGAAUGCUCUUCGCAUCCUGUCUGGGCUCUGACAUCCUGCCAUGGGCCACCAUGGCUUCCUCCACUCUCCACACCGUGCACACAAACGCAUCCACGCCACGCCUCACUCUGCCCCACCUGAUGGCUUUAAAUUGUUCAGAAAUGGAAGAGAAGAAAAGGGAAAGGAAAGAGGACCAUGAAUUGCCUUUAUUUGUGAAAAAAAAAUUCACAGGAUAUAGAACUUUUUUUUGUACAGUUAAAAAUGCCUUUCCAUUGUCGUCUAGAUUUCAUAGUUGCGAUCAACAUGUCAGCCAUAACUCAUUGUUGCUCCUUGGAAUAUGAUGUGUUUUAAUUUUUCUUGGCUGCUUUUAACAUUUUCUCAUUGUCUUUGGUUUGCACCUCUGUGUAGUUUUCUUUGUUUUUCUUUAACUUGGGAUUCACUGAGCUUUGUGCAUCUAUGAGUUGAUGUCUUUCUCUGAUUCUGACAACUCUUUCCCUUUAUCUCUUCAAAUAUGCUUUUCUUAUUCUCUCUCCCUCCCUUUUUCUGAGAAUCCAAUUAGAUGCAUGAUAGAUAUUAUGACUGUGUCCCAAUGUGUGUCUUAUACUCUGAUCUAUUAUCUUCAUUAUUUUCUCUGUCUGUACUUCAGUUUGAGUACAUCUAUACACAUGUCUUUGAGCUCACUAAUCCUGUCAUCUGCAGCUAACUCCAUUCAAUGAAUCCUUAAUUUCAAAUACUAAGGUUUUUUAGUUCUUGAAUGCCUACUUGAAUUUUUAUAGAUUCCAAUUCUCUGCAUCAGUCCUGCAUCAUUCAAAUGCCCAUCUUUUUCUCUAAAUAUUCUCUUUAUAUUCUAUUUAUCAUAGUUAUUUUUACAUUCUUGUCUCAUAACUCCAAGAGAAAAAUUAUCUUAGUUGUGAUGGUGGAAUGAAUACCUCCAACCAAAAUUUGGUUCAAAUGUCAAGACUGAUGACAUAAAGCACAUACCAAGAAGAUAUGAGAUUUAUUAUACACAUAUGAGGAUUUCUAGAGACAGCCUGGAAACUUCCCAAGCAGGUCUGAAAAUGGCUUAAGAGAGCAGAAAAAGGAGACUGGCUGGGAAAUCAUUGGAGAGUGGGACUAGGGAUAAGUGUUCCCAUGCAUGGACCAAGGCUUGCAUGGUUUGAACUUCAUGCUGAGAUGAAUGGAUGGGGCACUUAGGGUUUCUUAUGAGCUGGCCCAAGUCUAAAGUAAGGAAAGAGGGAGUGGUGGGGCUUAAAAGCUGUCAGCAUUCAGGGACACCUGGGUGGCUCAGUGGUUAAGCAUUCUAUCUCUUGAUUUUAGCUCGGAUCAUGAUCUCACUCUUCAUGAGAGGAGCCCCAUGUCGGGCUCUGUACUGGCAGUGCAGAGCCUGCUUGGGAUUCUCUUUCUCUCUCUCUCUGCCUCUCCCCUGCUCAUGCUCUCUCUCUCUCUCUCUAAAAAUAAAUAUAUAAACUUUUUUUAAAAAGCUGUCAGCAUUCAAAAGUUAAAAAAG
Molecule: long non-coding RNA, 2572 nt
Organism: Acinonyx jubatus (cheetah)
Lineage: Eukaryota; Metazoa; Chordata; Mammalia; Carnivora; Felidae
Exons: 4
Source: RefSeq, a predicted model, not a curated record